AUUGAACGCUGGCGGCAUGCCUUACACAUGCAAGUCGAACGGCAGCACGGGAGCAAUCCUGGUGGCGAGUGGCGAACGGGUGAGUAAAGUAUCGGAACGUGCCCAGUCGUGGGGGAUAACGUAGCGAAAGUUACGCUAAUACCGCAUACGAUCUAUGAAUGAAAGCGGGGGAUCGCAAGACCUCGCGCGAUUGGAGCGGCCGAUAUCAGAUUAGCUAGUUGGUGAGGUAAAAGCUCACCAAGGCGACGAUCAGUAGCUGGUCUGAGAGGACGACCAGCCACACUGGGACUGAGACACGGCCCAGACUCCUACGGGAGGCAGCAGUGGGGAAUUUUGGACAAUGGGCGCAAGCCUGAUCCAGCCAUGCCGCGUGCGGGAAGAAGGCCUUCGGGUUGUAAACCGCUUUUGGCAGGAACGAAACGGCGACUUCUAAUACGAGUCGUUAAUGACGGUACCUGCAGAAUAAGCACCGGCUAACUACGUGCCAGCAGCCGCGGUAA
RNAcentral lists this ribosomal RNA (500 nucleotides) under uncultured bacterium. Its description in RNAcentral is "partial 16S ribosomal RNA". It matches the Rfam family "Bacterial small subunit ribosomal RNA", at positions 30 to 523 of the family's 1533-position model. The record is from RNAcentral.